Molecule: ribosomal RNA, 468 nt
Filed under: uncultured bacterium
Lineage: Bacteria
Description: partial 16S ribosomal RNA
Rfam family: Bacterial small subunit ribosomal RNA
Source: RNAcentral
GACGAACGCUGGCGGCGUGCUUAACACAUGCAAGUCGAACGGUGAAGCUCCAGCUUGCUGGAGUGGAUCAGUGGCGAACGGGUGAGUAACACGUGAGCAACCUGCCCCUGACUCUGGAAUAAGCGCUGGAAACGGCGUCUAAUACUGGAUACGAGAAGGGUCCGCAUGGGCACUUUCUGGAAAGUUUUUCGGUUGGGGAUGGGCUCGCGGCCUAUCAGCUUGUUGGUGAGGUAAUGGCUCACCAAGGCGACGACGGGUAGCCGGCCUGAGAGGGCGACCGGCCACACUGGGACUGAGACACGGCCCAGCCUCCUACGGGAGGCAGCAGUGGGGAAUAUUGCACAAUGGGCGAAAGCCUGAUGCAGCGACGCCGCGUGAGGGAUGACGGCCUUCGGGUUGUAAACCUCUUUCAGCAGGGAAGAAGCGAAAGUGACGGUACCUGCAGAAGAAGCACCGGCUAACUACGUG